This is a small nucleolar RNA of Sorex fumeus (smoky shrew), 92 nucleotides long. RefSeq annotates it as small nucleolar RNA SNORD116. NCBI's taxonomy places the organism in Eukaryota, Metazoa, Chordata, Mammalia, Eulipotyphla, Soricidae. The transcript has a single exon. The record is from RefSeq and is a predicted model, not a curated record.
GCUGUGCUAUUGCUCCAACCCUAUCCAUUCCUUGGAAAUGUGAACAAAAUGAGUGAUAACCUCCACCACCGCCAUUCUUAAGGCUAUAUUGU